Molecule: long non-coding RNA, 1012 nt
Organism: Sus scrofa (pig)
Lineage: Eukaryota; Metazoa; Chordata; Mammalia; Artiodactyla; Suidae
Source: RefSeq, a predicted model, not a curated record
AGCAGAGGCAGGAAGAUCCCUGCGCCAGAUGUUUCACAGCCCUUAUGUGGGGAGGGCUCUUGGGUUUGAUGAUCUCUGAGGUUCUGACCAGGGCUGCUCUGCAAUUCUUUUCCUUUCCUUUGGCAGCUGUUUUAAACAGUGACAAGGAUUCUAGCAGAAUUGGGUAAUUUCUAAAAAAUCAGUUUCUGGAAACUCCCUGGAAGCCAAGCCUUCAGGCAGAGUAUCUUUCCUUCUCAAAAAUAAAAUGCAAAAGAAAAAUAGUACAGGUCAUUCGUGCAAGAGGGCAGAUAGCCUAAUCCCCCAGGAGGUCACAUGUCCCCGCUCCCAGCCAGGACUCUAGAUCUGGGAGGCUGGACAGGCCCAAGGAAAGAAGGCACAUUCCACAGCUUGGCACUCACCCGGUGCCCAGCAGCAUUGCUAAUAUGGAAACAUUUUUUGAUCGGCUCCCUAGAAGUUUACUUGGGCCCAUUUGGUCCCUGCUUUGUGAGUUCAGGCCUAUAAUAAGAGGCAUUUAUUUAUCUAUCUACUUAAUACUGAGAUCUGUCUCUGAGCCGGACACUGUGCCGAGUACCCAGAUAGAAAGAUGAGUGAGAUGGCCUUGUUCUCAGGUAGUUCACAGUUAAUGGGGGAAGGAUCCAUCAGCAAACUUAUAAUGCAACGUGGAACCAGGAGAGCAGAUUUCUCGGGCUGUCAUGACUCUGUCCUGAAUCUGAUGCAAUUGUACAAGACGGGCACUCAGCUGGGCCUGCGGGUGUUGGAGAAGGUUCUCUUGAAGUGGACGUGAUGGGGCAGGAGUAAGGCAGAAAGAAGAUCUUUGGGCUGGCGAUCCAACUUCUGGUAGAUGGUUAGUGCUCCAUCCACGGGGACCGAGGCCCCUCCCUGCCAGGGAGUUGUUACUGCCUAGGCUGUGGUCCCCAAAGACGCAGCAUCCCAGUCACAGGAACAGAUAUCUUUGAAUCAUCGUCUCUGCAGCUAACAUCCACACUCUUGUUUAAAGCCUUCUAUUCCCUGA